This 1778-nucleotide ribosomal RNA is filed under the name Mantamonas plastica. RNAcentral describes it as "SSU rRNA". It matches the Rfam family "Eukaryotic small subunit ribosomal RNA". The record is from RNAcentral. Lineage: Eukaryota; Mantamonadidae.
CAUAUGCUUGUCUCAAAGAUUAAGCCAUGCAUGUCUAAGUAUAAUUACUAUAUUAUCGUAAGAAACUGCGAAUGGCUCAUUAAAUCAGUCAUAGUUUAUUUGAUAGUGAACUGCUACAUGGAUAACCGUGGUAAUUCUAGAGCUAAUACACGCUAAAAUACGGGACGCAAGAACCGUUGUGCUUAUUAGAUAAAAAACCAAACCUCAUUGAGGCUUGCGAUGAAUCAUGAUAAUUGUCGAAUCGUAUGGCCCAGAGCCGACGAUGAUUCAUUCAAAUUUCUGCCCUAUCACUCUAUUGUUGGUAAGAUAGAGGCUUACCAAGGAUGCGACGGGUAACGGAGAAUUAGAGUUUGAUUCCGGAGAGGGAGCCUGAGAGACGGCUACCACAUCUAAGGAAGGCAGCAGGCGCGCAAAUUACCCAAUUCCGACACGGAGAGGUAGUGACAAAAAAUAACAAGGCGGGGCAUUGCCUCGCCAUUGGAAUGAGAACAAUCUAAAACACUUAUCGAGGAUCUAUUGGAGGGCAAGUCUGGUGCCAGCAGCCGCGGUAAUUCCAGCUCCAAUAGCGUAUAUUAAAGUUGUUGCAGUUAAAAAGCUCGUAGUUGGACUUGGGAGCUCCGGACGGGGCGGGUCGAAAGGCUCGUAUUCCUGCUCUGGGGCUCUUCCUUUCAGGGUACUUGUGUGUGCUUAACCGCACGGGCAAGGAACUUGGAUUAUUUACUUUGAGAAAAUUAUGGUGUUCAAAGCAGGCUUUUGCCUUGAGUAUAUUAGCAUGGAAUAAUAGAAUAGGACGUUGGUUUUUCUAUUUUGUUGGUUUCUAGGACCGAUGUAAUGAUUAAUAGGGAUAGUUGGGGGCAUUAAUAUUUAAUUGCUAGAGGUGAAAUUCUUGGAUUUAUGAAAGAUUAACUUUUGCGAAAGCAUCUGCCAAGGAUGUUUUCAUUAAUCAAGAACGAAAGUUAGGGGAUCGAAGACGAUCAGAUACCGUCGUAGUCUUAACCAUAAACUAUGCCGACUAGGGAUUGGUGGAAUGUUUUAAAACGCCAUCAGCACCUUUCGAGAAAUCAAAGUUUUUGGGUUCCGGGGGGAGUAUGGUCGCAAGGCUGAAACUUAAAGGAAUUGACGGAAGGGCACCACCAGGAGUGGAGCUUGCGGCUUAAUUUGACUCAACACGGGAAAACUCACCAGGUCCAGACAUAUGAAGGAUUGACAGAUUGAGAGCUCUUUCUUGAUUCUAUGGGUGGUGGUGCAUGGCCGUUCUUAGUUGGUGGAGUGAUCUGUCUGGUUAAUUCCGAUAACGAACGAGACCUUAACCUACUAAAUAGUCAUUUGAAUCACUGAUUCAAAGAUGUACUUCUUAGAGGGACUAGCUGCAUCCAGCAGCUGGAAGUUUGAGGCAAUAACAGGUCUGUGAUGCCCUUAGAUGUCCUGGGCCGCACGCGUGCUACACUGACGAAUUCAACGAGUUGCAUACCUUUGUCGAAAGGCAAUUUGGGUAAUCUUUGAAAUUUCGUCGUGCUGGGGAUAGAUUAUUGCAAUUGUUAAUCUUGAACGAGGAAUUCCUAGUAAGUGCGACUCAACAAGUCGCGUUGAUUACGUCCCUGCCCUUUGUACACACCGCCCGUCGCUCCUACCGAUGGAUGGUCAGGUGAGCUCCGCGGACGGGAACUCGUGAUGCCGCAAGGUUGAUGAGCAUUCUGGAAGUGGAGCAAACCUUAUUAUCUAGAGGAAAGAAAAGUCGUAACAAGGUAUCCGUAGGUGAACCUGCGGAUGGAUCAUUA